UACGAAGGGGGCGAGCGUUGUUCGGAAUUACUGGGCGUAAGGGGCGCGUAGGCGGCGACUCUAGUCAGAUGUGAAAGUCCUGGGCUUAACCUGGGGACUGCAUUUGAUACUGGGUUGCUUGAAUUCGGGAGAGGAUAGCGGAAUUCCCAGUGUAGAGGUGAAAUUCGUAGAUAUUGGGAAGAACACCGGUGGCGAAGGCGGCUAUCUGGACCGACAUUGACGCUGAGGCGCGAAAGCGUGGGGAGCAAACAGG
Molecule: ribosomal RNA, 253 nt
Filed under: uncultured bacterium
Lineage: Bacteria
Description: partial 16S ribosomal RNA
Rfam family: Bacterial small subunit ribosomal RNA
Source: RNAcentral